Molecule: ribosomal RNA, 96 nt
Filed under: Phytophthora gonapodyides
Lineage: Eukaryota; Oomycota; Peronosporomycetes; Peronosporales; Peronosporaceae
Description: partial 28S ribosomal RNA
Source: RNAcentral
UUGGACCUGAUAUCAGGCAAGAUUACCCGCUGAAUUAGCUAUCAAAAAGGGGGGAGGAGAGAAAAGGAAAUAAAAAAAUCCCCACAGCCGGGGUGU